This 770-nucleotide ribosomal RNA is filed under the name uncultured bacterium. RNAcentral's name for it is "bacterial SSU rRNA". It matches the Rfam family "Bacterial small subunit ribosomal RNA", at positions 8 to 796 of the family's 1533-position model. The record is from RNAcentral.
AGAGUUUGAUCAUGGCUCAGAACGAACGCUGGCGGCGUGCUUAACACAUGCAAGUCGAGUGCGCGCCUGUAGCAAUACAGGUGGCGCACGGCGCACGGGUGCGUAACACGUGGGUAACCUGCCCUUUGGUGGGGAAUAACUCCGCGAAAGCGAAGCUAAUUCCGCAUAAGAUCCGCAAGGAUGAAAGCCGAAAGGCGCCGAUGGAGGGGCCCGCGCACGAUUAGCUAGUUGGUAGGGUAAUGGCCUACCAAGGCUUUGAUCGUUAGCUGGUCUGAGAGGAUGGCCAGCCACACUGGAACUGAGACACGGUCCAGACUCCUACAGGAGGCAGCAGUGGGGAAUCUUGCACAGUGGGCGAAAGCCUGAUGCAGCGACGCCGCGUGGGGGAUGAAGCUUCUCGGAGUGUAAACCCCUUUCGAUCCGGACGAAUGCCCGCAAGGGAUUGACGGUACGGAUAUAAGAAGCCCCGGCUAACUACGUGCCAGCAGCCGCGGUAAUACGUAGGGGGCCAGCGUUGUUCGGAAUUACUGGGUGUAAAGGGUUCGUAGGCGGUGCGGCAAGUUGGGAGUGAAAUCUCUGGGCUCAACCCAGAGGCUGCUUCCAAAACUGCCGUGCUUGAGUGUGGGAGAGGCUCGUGGAAUUGCAGGUGUAGCGGUGAAAUGCGUAGAUAUCUGCAGGAACACCCGUGGCGAAAGCGGCGAGCUGGACCACUACUGACGCUGAAGAACGAAAGCUAGGGGAGCAAACAGGAUUAGAUACCCUAGUAGUCC